GAUGAACGCUGGCGGCGUGCCUAAUACAUGCAAGUCGAGCGAACAGAUGAGGAGCUUGCUCCUCUGACGUUAGCGGCGGACGGGUGAGUAACACGUGGAUAACCUACCUAUAAGACUGGGAUAACUUCGGGAAACCGGAGCUAAUACCGGAUAAUAUAUUGAACCGCAUGGUUCAAUAGUGAAAGACGGUUUUGCUGUCACUUAUAGAUGGAUCCGCGCCGCAUUAGCUAGUUGGUAAGGUAACGGCUUACCAAGGCGACGAGGCGUAGCCGACCUGAGAGGGUGAUCGGCCACACGGGAACUGAGACACGGUCCAGACUCCUACGGGAGGCAGCAGUAGGGAAUCUUCCGCAAUGGGCGAAAGCCUGACGGAGCAACGCCGCGUGAGUGAUGAAGGUCUUCGGAUCGUAAAACUCUGUUAUUAGGGAAGAACAAAUGUGUAAGUAACUAUGCACGUCUUGACGGUACCUAAUCAGAAAGCCACGGCUAACUACGUG
This 497-nucleotide ribosomal RNA is filed under the name uncultured bacterium. RNAcentral describes it as "partial 16S ribosomal RNA". It matches the Rfam family "Bacterial small subunit ribosomal RNA", at positions 28 to 507 of the family's 1533-position model. The record is from RNAcentral.